Molecule: ribosomal RNA, 556 nt
Filed under: uncultured bacterium
Lineage: Bacteria
Description: partial 16S ribosomal RNA
Rfam family: Bacterial small subunit ribosomal RNA
Source: RNAcentral
UUAGAUACCCUGGUAGUCCACGCCGUAAACGAUGAUCACCAGGUGUCGGNGGUUAACAGACCCCCGGUGCCGAAGCCAACGCAUUAAGUGAUCCACCUGGGGAGUACGUUUCGCAGAAUGAAACUCANAGGAAUUGACGGGGACCCGCACNNAGCGUGGAGCAUGUUGGUUAAUUCCNAAGNCACGCAAAGAACCUUAACCGGGCCUUUACAUCCCCUNCCCCGGAAAUUUCCCCGGAAUUGGCGAACAACCUUUGGGGCAAGGAAAAAAGGGGGGGCCAUGGGUUUCCCCCCCCCCGGUCCGAAAAUUUGGGGUUAAUCCCCCCAAAAACCCCCCCCUCUUUUCCCCUUUUCCCCCAGGAAAAAAUGGGCCCUCUUUUGGGAAAAACCCGGGGGAUUCCCCCCGAGGAGAGGGGGGGGAAAAAGCAAAAAAUUUUUUCUCCCCCUCUUUUUUGGGGGGGGGAACACCUUUUUUUUUUUUUUUUGUUAUAAAAAAAGAAAAAAAAACCCCCCCCCCGGGGGGGGGGGCGCCUCCCCACAAAAAUAAAAGCCCCGCC